AGCAGCCGCGGUAAUUCCAGCUCCAAUAGCGUAUAUUAAAGUUGUUGCAGUUAAAAAGCUCGUAGUUGAAUUUCGGGAUCAAUAUGUUGGUCGUGCCUCGGUACGUACUAGCAUAUUGGUUUCUCCUUCUGAAGAACCAUGAUGUCAUUUAUUUGGUGUCGUGGGGAAUCAGGACUGUUACUUUGAAAAAUUAGAGUGUUUAAAGCAGGCUCACGCUUGAAUACAUUAGCAUGGAAUAAUGAAAUAGGACGUUCGAUUCUAUUUUGUUGGUUUCUAGGAUCGAUGUAAUGAUUAAUAGGGAUAGUUGGGGGCAUUAGUAUUCAAUUGUCAGAGGUGAAAUCCUUGGAUUUAUUGAAGACUAACUACUGCGAAAACAUUUGCCAAGGAUGUUCUCAUUAAUCAAGAACGAAAGUUAGGGGAUCGAAGACGAUCAGAUACCGUCGUAGUCUUAACCAUAAACUAUGCCGACUAGGGAUCGGAUGAUGUUAAUUUUUUAAUGACUCAUUCGGCGCCUUACGGG
RNAcentral lists this unclassified non-coding RNA (520 nucleotides) under uncultured Glomus. RNAcentral describes it as "SSU rRNA". It matches the Rfam family "Eukaryotic small subunit ribosomal RNA", at positions 569 to 1094 of the family's 1831-position model. Lineage: Eukaryota; Fungi; Glomeromycota; Glomeromycetes; Glomerales; Glomeraceae. The record is from RNAcentral.